Tachysurus vachellii is the source of this 531-nucleotide long non-coding RNA. RefSeq lists it as uncharacterized. The transcript has 2 exons. The record is from RefSeq and is a predicted model, not a curated record. NCBI's taxonomy places the organism in Eukaryota, Metazoa, Chordata, Actinopteri, Siluriformes, Bagridae.
AGUUCACUGAACGAGAACGAUUCGGUUACCUUAAAGAUUCAUUCAAAAAGAACGAUUCGUUCACUAGCGGAAGGUCGCUAGUGCCCUUGCAUGCUUCAAGGAAGACCCCAAUUACAUAUAAACACUGUUAAACGAUAAUACAACAUGUUAUUUGAUGGUCUGAAGUGGUAUAAGCGCACAGCAUUAAUUUAUGCAAUCGGAACUUGGACUUUGCUUGGUUCUUGUGCAUAUUACACAUUUUUUCACUGCGAUGAACGAGUCAUUAUACCUAAAGAGGAGGAGGGGAUCGAGGAGGACGCAAAACCAAAUGUGAGAAUAAUUAAAUCCUCUCACAUGUCAGCAAAAAUUACCUACAAAGAAGAUUUUGUCCCAUAUUCCACAAGAUUUUUAAAACUUUUCAGUUCCAGAGCUGAGGACACUUCAGGAAGUCAAAAUGAUGAAAAAUAAAAGUCAUUUUAAAUUGCACUACUAUGCAAUGUAUUUUCUUGCAUGGUCGAUGGAAAGUUUUUCAUGAAUGUACUUUAUAAUAAA